CCGCACGCGUGCUACACUUGACGCAUACAGCGAGUACGUCCCAGCUCCGCGAGGCAGCUGGUAAUCAGCAAUAUGCGUCGUGAUGGGGAUAGAUCUUUGGAAUUAUAGAUCUUGAACGAGGAAUUCCUAGUAAGCGCAAGUCAUUACCUUGCGCUGAUUAAGU
This 163-nucleotide ribosomal RNA is filed under the name uncultured eukaryote. RNAcentral describes it as "partial 18S ribosomal RNA". It matches the Rfam family "Eukaryotic small subunit ribosomal RNA", at positions 1487 to 1650 of the family's 1831-position model. The record is from RNAcentral.